UUCGAUCUGGCUCAGAACGAACGCUGGCGGCGCGUUUAAGCAUGCAAGUCGAGCGGCAGUAGCAAUACGAGAGCGGCGGACGGGUGAGUAACACGUGGGUAAUCUGCCUACCAGUCGGGGAUAGCCUGUGGAAACACAGGAUAAUACCGGAUGCGAUGCCUUUUACACAAGUGAGAGGCAGGAAAGGGGCCAAGGCCCCGCUGGAAGAUGAGCCCGCGUCCCAUUAGCUAGAUGGCGGGGUAAAGGCCCACCAUGGCGAUGAUGGGUAGCCGGCCUGAGAGGGUGAACGGCCACAUUGGAACUGAGACACGGUCCAGACUCCUACGGGAGGCAGCAGCUAAGAAUCUUCCACAAUGGACGAAAGUCUGAUGGAGCGACGCCGCGUGGGCCGAUGAAGGCCGUGAGGUUGUAAAGCCCUUUUCUUGAGGAGGAAUAAGUGGGACAGGGAAUGGUCCUGCGAUGACGUGAAUCAAGGAAUAAGCCCCGGCUAACUACGUGCCAGCAGCGGC
Molecule: ribosomal RNA, 509 nt
Filed under: uncultured bacterium
Lineage: Bacteria
Description: bacterial SSU rRNA
Rfam family: Bacterial small subunit ribosomal RNA
Source: RNAcentral